UUUAUCAAAACAAUAUUGUAAUAACCGGAUCGGACCGGAUGGUCUGACUGGUUCGAUCGCUAACCGAACUUGAAAACGACUCUGUUUUGUAGUCUUAACCGAAUGAGUAAUUGGACCGCUUUGAACCAGAAAACAUAUUAUUUCUCUUUGUCCUUAUUCUGAGAAGUAUAGGAGACUUUAUAAUCUUAGUACUUUUAAGGAGGGUCUUGUUUGUAACUUUGGGACUUGGGUGAGAGGUAAUUGGGAGUGGAAGUUCACUUGGCGUCGUCCUUUAUUUACUUGGGAGAAGGAUUUAACCAUUUCUUUUUUGCAAGAUCUUAUCCAACUGAAGUUUCAUAUCAACAAGUCAGAUACUUGGGAUUGGAUUCAUGACAAAUCCAAGCUUUACUCCGUCAAAUCCGCCUACAGACAUAUCACUCAUUCCGAUCAACUUCACAUUCUCACCGACAUUAAUCAUUGUGUCAUUUGGAAGUCAAAAGCUCCUCUAAAGGUCCUUUCUUUUGCUUGGAGGCUCUUCCAAGAUAGAAUUCCAACUUUGGACGCUCUUGUCAAGCGGGGUGUCUCUUUGAUUAAUAACAGUACUUCUAAUUGUGUUUUCUGCAAUUCUCAUCAAGAAUACGUUACUCACUUAUUUUCUUCUUGCGAUUUCUCUUAUGCUUUGUGCCAACUUAUGUACAAUUAGUUAAAUGUUAGCUUGGCCAUUCCGCUAACACCCAUUCAUCACUUUACUUCUUUCUUGGGGCUGAUUAAGAAUCGGAAAUCUUGGAAGCUUUGGAGUAUUAUCUGGUUUGCUACUAUUUGGGCCCUUUGGCUUGGGAGGAAUGACAUUGUUCUUUCAUGGCUUUGGAUCAAUGUUAACUGUGGAAAGGACAACAUUCUUUUAG
Lupinus albus (white lupine) is the source of this 884-nucleotide non-coding RNA. NCBI's taxonomy places the organism in Eukaryota, Viridiplantae, Streptophyta, Magnoliopsida, Fabales, Fabaceae. The record is from the annotation of a GenBank genome assembly.